GCUCCCCACGGUAGUGUGCUGACCCAAUCAGGAAUUAUAUCAUACGUGUAUAACUAGGGGUUCGUUCUGAAAUUCACUGCCGCUGCUACGACUAACGUCGUGUCCUUGUUUUCCUGCUUGCAUUUGAUUGAGACACAACCAUUCUCGUAGUACUGGCAGGGAAUUUCGAAACGCACUCUAGGUUGCAGGUCUGUACUUUACAUUCAGCGGAGUUUUGAUGGAAAUAACCAUUGUUCGUUCUACCACGCUAAUCAAGUACUAUUGGUGUGUUGGCUCUUGUGUGGCUACAGUGUUUUAGGCUAAUAAUUACUACUGUGCAAGUAUAGGAUUACAUCAAAGUCCUUACUGCUGCCAUAUCAGAUAUCAAGACCACAAGGAUAAUUAAUUUAACGACACCAUGGUGGGAUAUCGCUAUCAAACAUUUACCGGAAUGCAGUUUCUGGGAUGGAUUUUGGCCCGUCUGUGUGGGGAGCAUCGUCGCUCCUGGGAUGACGUUCUGCUAGCAAUUGAAGUGGCCGUCACAGUGGAUCCUAUGAGGAUUUGCCAGUUGCCAUCUACAGCCGACGUAGGCAUCCAGUGCAAUAUGACGACCUCGGUUAAGCAUUGUGGUACACAAACAGAUCCAGUUUCGAUGAUCAGCCAGGGAACGCAAACGACGCCAGAGAACAAAGGUCCUAAUGAAGACCUAUAAAAAAUGCAUUGGAAGCCGAACAUUUAUUCAUCAAGAUAUUUCGAAUGUGCGUGGACACUUAUACAAAGUCACUCAAGAAAAACGCACCAUCUGAACAGUUAAAUCAAAUGAACAAACUAAGUUCAGAUGGUGCGUCUUGUCUUGAAUAACCCUGUAGUGUAGUAGGUCCACGUUAUCUGGACAUCGUACCAACUCAGCUUCUUUUAAGGAACUGGCAGGUGGUCCCUGAGUGAUAAAGGAACUUUGUUGUUAAGCUUUUUCGGAAGGUUAGAUAAGUUCUCAAUUUUACGAAGAUCCACUUCACUCGAUACUUUAUUUAUUGUAUUCUACUUGUUACUUUCCUACAUGAGUAUACUACUAUCUGGUCCUUUUAAUUCUGUUUUUCUUUAGUACUGCUAUAGGAUAUAUGCUAAUUUAUUUAAGAAAUUAAUUGAUACAUUAUAGAUGGUUUAGGACUUCUCUGACUUGUCUGUCUCUUUAUUGAUAAAUAAUUUUCUUUUUCUUUAAUUAGCAGUAAAAAUGGCUUUUUCUAUCUGGCUGCUAAUUUAUAUGCGCCUAUUUUGGUUGAGUACUAAAGAUAUUUAGUAUAGCUGUUAUUUUUAGAUAAUAUAUAUAUAGUUUGCUUUUCUUAAAGUUUUCGUGUAAAUUCUUCUCAGUUUAUAAUAGAUUUAUUUGAAUUUUUGUUACUAUUAUACACAAACUUUAAUUAAUAUUUUUGUUUUAUAUAAUGGCACUCUCUUGUGAAAGUGUUUCAUUUUCUAUUACCCAAGCAAACUACAUGACAUUCUUGUUCAGUUUUGCAAUAUUGAUGGAUUUUUCAUACCGUUAUUAAAUUAAGGAUCGAUACGCCAUUCAUUUCUUUCGUGUGCUUCUGAUCCUGAGCUAAACUGAACUACUUUUAUUUUUCCAUAUUUGCACAUUUCGGGCAAACCAUUGAGCGCUUCAAUUUAUGUAAUCGAACUUUUAUAAUUUUUGUUUGAAUAAAAUUAUCUUU
Cephus cinctus (wheat stem sawfly) is the source of this 1685-nucleotide long non-coding RNA. RefSeq lists it as uncharacterized. The transcript has 3 exons. NCBI's taxonomy places the organism in Eukaryota, Metazoa, Arthropoda, Insecta, Hymenoptera, Cephidae. The record is from RefSeq and is a predicted model, not a curated record.